Molecule: RNA transcript, 2003 nt
Organism: Homo sapiens (human)
Lineage: Eukaryota; Metazoa; Chordata; Mammalia; Primates; Hominidae
Gene: FOLH1B
Gene name: folate hydrolase 1B (pseudogene)
Exons: 14
Source: RefSeq, marked validated
AUUAUAUUUCUAAGCUAGUGGAAGGAAAUAGCAAAUACUCACUACCACAAAUAAGAACAUUUCCAAAUCUGAUGUUCUGAGGAUUUUUAGAGCUUAUAGUAGCAAAAAGAAAAGGGAAAUUCUCUCUGAGAUGUCCUUUUUUGUAGGCCUAAUGACAAAAGGUUGAAGAUAAAGUUCUAGUACUCAUUUAAGUGUAAUAUUGAAAAUUGAUAUUACCAAAUCUGGAACAACCAAUUUAAAAUAAGGAAAGAAAGACACUGUGUUUUCUAGGUUAAAAAUGCCCAGCUGGCAGGGGCCAAAGGAGUCAUUCUCUACUCAGACCCUGCUGACUACUUUGCUCCUGGGGUGAAGUCCUAUCCAGACGGUUGGAAUCUUCCUGGAGGUGGUGUCCAGCGUGGAAAUAUCCUAAAUCUGAAUGGUGCAGGAGACCCUCUCACACCAGGUUACCCAGCAAAUGAAUACGCUUAUAGGCAUGGAAUUGCAGAGGCUGUUGGUCUUCCAAGUAUUCCUGUUCAUCCAGUUGGAUACUAUGAUGCACAGAAGCUCCUAGAAAAAAUGGGUGGCUCAGCACCACCAGAUAGCAGCUGGAGAGGAAGUCUCAAAGUGUCCUACAAUGUUGGACCUGGCUUUACUGGAAACUUUUCUACACAAAAAGUCAAGAUGCACAUCCACUCUACCAAUGAAGUGACGAGAAUUUACAAUGUGAUAGGUACUCUCAGAGGAGCAGUGGAACCAGACAGAUAUGUCAUUCUGGGAGGUCACCGGGACUCAUGGGUGUUUGGUGGUAUUGACCCUCAGAGUGGAGCAGCUGUUGUUCAUGAAACUGUGAGGAGCUUUGGAACACUGAAAAAGGAAGGGUGGAGACCUAGAAGAACAAUUUUGUUUGCAAGCUGGGAUGCAGAAGAAUUUGGUCUUCUUGGUUCUACUGAGUGGGCAGAGGAUAAUUCAAGACUCCUUCAAGAGCGUGGCGUGGCUUAUAUUAAUGCUGACUCAUCUAUAGAAGGAAACUACACUCUGAGAGUUGAUUGUACACCACUGAUGUACAGCUUGGUAUACAACCUAACAAAAGAGCUGAAAAGCCCUGAUGAAGGCUUUGAAGGCAAAUCUCUUUAUGAAAGUUGGACUAAAAAAAGUCCUUCCCCAGAGUUCAGUGGCAUGCCCAGGAUAAGCAAAUUGGGAUCUGGAAAUGAUUUUGAGGUGUUCUUCCAACGACUUGGAAUUGCUUCAGGCAGAGCACGGUAUACUAAAAAUUGGGAAACAAACAAAUUCAGCGGCUAUCCACUGUAUCACAGUGUCUAUGAAACAUAUGAGUUGGUGGAAAAGUUUUAUGAUCCAAUGUUUAAAUAUCACCUCACUGUGGCCCAGGUUCGAGGAGGGAUGGUGUUUGAGCUAGCCAAUUCCAUAGUGCUCCCUUUUGAUUGUCGAGAUUAUGCUGUAGUUUUAAGAAAGUAUGCUGACAAAAUCUACAAUAUUUCUAUGAAACAUCCACAGGAAAUGAAGACAUACAGUUUAUCAUUUGAUUCACUUUUUUCUGCAGUAAAAAAUUUUACAGAAAUUGCUUCCAAGUUCAGCGAGAGACUCCAGGACUUUGACAAAAGCAACCCAAUAUUGUUAAGAAUGAUGAAUGAUCAACUCAUGUUUCUGGAAAGAGCAUUUAUUGAUCCAUUAGGGUUACCAGACAGACCUUUUUAUAGGCAUGUCAUCUAUGCUCCAAGCAGCCACAACAAGUAUGCAGGGGAGUCAUUCCCAGGAAUUUAUGAUGCUCUGUUUGAUAUUGAAAGCAAAGUGGACCCUUCCAAGGCCUGGGGAGAUGUGAAGAGACAGAUUUCUGUUGCAGCCUUCACAGUGCAGGCAGCUGCAGAGACUUUGAGUGAAGUAGCCUAAGAGGAUUCUUUAGAGACUCUGUAUUGAAUUUGUGUGGUAUGUCACUCAAAGAAUAAUAAUGGGUAUAUUGAUAAAUUUUAAAAUUGGUAUAUUUGAAAUAAAGUUGAAUAUUAUAUAUA